RNAcentral lists this unclassified non-coding RNA (202 nucleotides) under Hevea brasiliensis (rubber tree). Lineage: Eukaryota; Viridiplantae; Streptophyta; Magnoliopsida; Malpighiales; Euphorbiaceae. The record is from RNAcentral.
CAGCCAUUGAUUGUUGUUGGUGGGUUAUCUGUGAGAUGAUCUCUCUUCUCUUUUCUCUUAUGUGUGUGAGAGUGUAUUUGAAAGACAGAGAGCGGAUUUAGACGGUGGUGAAUUCGUGGGCUUAAGGCGGAAAUUUAGAUGGAGGACUUCGUAGAUAGCUUUGGAUUUUUGUUUGAGUUCACCGAAUUUUCGAACUUGGGUA